AGAGUUUGAUCAUGGCUCAGGAUGAACGCUGGCGGCGUGCUUAACACAUGCAAGUCGAACGAACUGAGAGGAGCUUGCUCCUUGAGGUUAGUGGCGGACGGGUGAGUAACGCGUGGGUAACCUGCCCUAUGCAGGGGGAUAACGUUUGGAAACGAACGCUAAUACCGCAUAAACUAUGGGUAGUCGCAUGACUACUAUAGCAAAGAUUUAUCGGCAUAGGAUGGACCCGCGUUGGAUUAGCUAGUUGGUGAGAUAACAGCCCACCAAGGCGACGAUCCAUAGCCGGCCUGAGAGGGUGAACGGCCACAUUGGGACUGAGACACGGCCCAAACUCCUACGGGAGGCAGCAGUGGGGAAUAUUGCACAAUGGGCGAAAGCCUGAUGCAGCAACGCCGCGUGAAGGAAGAAGGUCUUCGGAUUGUAAACUUCUAUCAGUAGGGAAGAAUAAAUGACGGUACCUAACUAAGAAGCUCCGGCUAACUACGUGCCAGCCGCCGCGGUAAUAC
RNAcentral lists this ribosomal RNA (506 nucleotides) under uncultured bacterium. Its description in RNAcentral is "bacterial SSU rRNA". It matches the Rfam family "Bacterial small subunit ribosomal RNA", at positions 8 to 526 of the family's 1533-position model. The record is from RNAcentral.